RNAcentral lists this ribosomal RNA (462 nucleotides) under uncultured bacterium. RNAcentral describes it as "partial 16S ribosomal RNA". It matches the Rfam family "Bacterial small subunit ribosomal RNA", at positions 28 to 507 of the family's 1533-position model. The record is from RNAcentral.
GACGAACGCUGGCGGCGUGCUUAACACAUGCAAGUCGAACGGAAAGGCCCUUCGGGGUACUCGAGUGGCGAACGGGUGAGUAACACGUGGGUGAUCUGCCCUGCACUUUGGGAUAAGCCUGGGAAACUGGGUCUAAUACCGAAUAGGACCACGCGCUUCAUGGUGUGUGGUGGAAAGCUUUUGCGGUGUGGGAUGGGCCCGCGGCCUAUCAGCUUGUUGGUGGGGUAAUGGCCUACCAAGGCGACGACGGGUAGCCGGCCUGAGAGGGUGACCGGCCACAAUGGGACUGGGAUACGGCCCAGAAUCCUACCGGGGGCAGCAGGGGGGAAUAUUGCACAAUGGGGGCAAGCCUGAUGCAACGACGCCGGGUGAGGGAUGACGGCCUUCGGGGUGUAAACCUCUUUCCCCAGGGACGAAGCGUAAGGGACGGUACCUGGAGAAGAAGCACCGGCCAACUACGUG